This is a non-coding RNA of Arabidopsis thaliana (thale cress), 532 nucleotides long. The record is from RefSeq. NCBI's taxonomy places the organism in Eukaryota, Viridiplantae, Streptophyta, Magnoliopsida, Brassicales, Brassicaceae.
AUGUCUCAUCAAAUUCUCUAUUUUAAAUUCUUUCGAUUUUCAAAUUAUGCAUUCGGAAUUCACAAAUUUGCUUUCACUUUGUUCAUCAUUGUUUCAUCAAUCACAAGUCUCAUCAAAUUAUCUAUUUCACAUUUUUUCUUAGUCUUCAGAAUAAUGAAUUUUAUAUUUACGUUUUCAGUAUCUAUGACAUUACCAUGGAGAUGAAUCUUCUUAAACACCAUUCACUCCAACACAAUGGCAAGUUAUGCAUAUAUCCUUUGUUGCAGCACAAAACAUUUUCGAAGAAGAGCAAAUUUGAAGGCUCUCUAGGUCUUUUACAAGUGAUCAUAUACCAUUGAGACUCCUCUACUCGCACCAAGUGGAUUCCCGUCAAGCCAUUACUCGCAUCACACCAAUUAUUCAGAUUUUGUAUUAUACAAGCUAAAGAAACAAAAGACUCGGCUGGGAUUUUCUCCAAACCAUUUGGCUUACUCUUCAUUUUUUUCAUCACCAUUCAUCAAUAUAUCAAAAUUAAACAUUUUCGACUUUAUUA